GGGAUAUGAGGAGUGGUGGUGUCUCGCUGAUUUUAUGCGAGUUGGGUGUUCGCCCCAAGCCUGGUUACGACAAUUGGGCACCCUCCGUUGGAUUUAUCUGAUCCC
Gastrolobium bilobum is the source of this 105-nucleotide small nucleolar RNA. RefSeq annotates it as small nucleolar RNA Z279/snoR105/snoR108. NCBI's taxonomy places the organism in Eukaryota, Viridiplantae, Streptophyta, Magnoliopsida, Fabales, Fabaceae. The record is from RefSeq and is a predicted model, not a curated record. The transcript has a single exon.